This 501-nucleotide ribosomal RNA is filed under the name uncultured bacterium. RNAcentral describes it as "partial 16S ribosomal RNA". It matches the Rfam family "Bacterial small subunit ribosomal RNA", at positions 29 to 523 of the family's 1533-position model. The record is from RNAcentral.
AUUGAACGCUGGCGGCAUGCCUUACACAUGCAAGUCGAACGGCAGCACGGGUGCUUGCACCUGGUGGCGAGUGGCGAACGGGUGAGUAAUACAUCGGAACGUACCUUAUCGUGGGGGAUAACGCAGCGAAAGCUGUGCUAAUACCGCAUACGCCCUGAGGGGGAAAGCGGGGGAUCGAAAGACCUCGCGCGAUUAGAGCGGCCGAUGCCUGAUUAGCUUGUUGGUGGGGUAAAAGCCCACCAAGGCGACGAUCAGUAGCUGGUCUGAGAGGACGAUCAGCCCCACUGGGACUGAGAGACGGCCGAGACUCCUACGGGAGGCAGCAGUGGGGAAUUUUGGACAAUGGGGGCAACCCUGAUCCAGCAAUGCCGCGUGAGUGAAGAAGGCCUUCGGGUUGUAAAGCUCUUUUGUCAGGGAAGAAACACCGGCUCUAACACAGUCCGGGAAUGACGGUACCUGAAGAAUAAGCACCGGCUAACUACGUGCCAGCCGCCGCGGUAA